GACGAACGCUGGCGGCGUGCUUAACACAUGCAAGUCGAACGGAAAGGCCUCUUUCGGGGGGUACUCGAGUGGCGAACGGGUGAGUAACACGUGAGUAACCUGCCCUUGACUUUGGGAUAACUUCAGGAAACUGGGGCUAAUACCGGAUAGGAGCUCCUGCUGCAUGGUGGGGGUUGGAAAGUUUCGGCGGUUGGGGAUGGACUCGCGGCUUAUCAGCUUGUUGGUGGGGUAGUGGCUUACCAAGGCUUUGACGGGUAGCCGGCCUGAGAGGGUGACCGGCCACAUUGGGACUGAGGUACGGCCCAGACUCCUACGGGGGGCAGCAGUGGGGAAUAUUGCAAAAGGGGGGGAAGCCUGAUGCAGCAACGCCGGGGGCGGGAUGACGGCCUUCGGGUUGUAAACCGCUUUCGCUCAUGACGAAGCUUUGGGUGACGGUAGUGGGAAAAGAAGCACCGGCUAACUCCGU
Molecule: ribosomal RNA, 466 nt
Filed under: uncultured bacterium
Lineage: Bacteria
Description: partial 16S ribosomal RNA
Rfam family: Bacterial small subunit ribosomal RNA
Source: RNAcentral